Molecule: long non-coding RNA, 1204 nt
Organism: Oxyura jamaicensis (ruddy duck)
Lineage: Eukaryota; Metazoa; Chordata; Aves; Anseriformes; Anatidae
Exons: 2
Source: RefSeq, a predicted model, not a curated record
UUUGUUGUCCUGCGCAAUUUUACUGUAUUUUCCUUGUUCAUGUGCCUUCAAAUACCACGGAAGUCCUGGCUGAUUGGGGAGUCUACCACUAUACUGCCUUCUGCUUUAGGAUUAUGCUGAUAGCAUAUCAUGAAAUGCUGGCAUACACCAACCUCAUGCAUAUGUUCCCUGAGUCAGCCUACUUGGUAACACACCCGUGCCCACCAGUUUUGCAAAACUGGUUCUGCAGUCAGAUGUUGGCUUGAAGUAUCUGAGGGAAUGGUAGUGGCUGAACACAGUCACAGAUGGAAUACCAGACCUUGCCACAGUGUUGCUGUGAGACAAAAGUGUCUUCCUCCUGCAAAUGGAAGAUGAAUCCUUGUACAGUGCUGGCAUAGGGUAUCAACAGCCUGCAGUUCUUCAUCUGAGGAAGGCAAGGAUUUACUAAUCACUUCAAAAGCUUGAUACAGAAGAACCUUCCUGGACUUGAUAGAGAAGGGACUGGACUUGGUUCUUAAACCCUGGAGGCUAUCUGUUCCAAAAACAUGCAGAGUGCUGGCAGUUCAGCAGAGGAAACUGGACUGGAAAUUCUGGAGGCCUGGAGACCCCACCAAUGACUGACAAACCGGAAGGGAAGGUGGAAUGGGCAAUAGUGGCUGUGAAUGUUUCCUGAGGAAGACAAGCAAGAAGACAGAUGCCUAGUAAUGCUUUAACUAGAUUCCUUGUGGAAUAGGCACGCAGUGGCCUGGAAGCUCGCAAGGAGGGCCUUGCUGUGGUGUGGAAUCUUAAAACAGGGAGAGGCGAAGUUGUCAUGGACUGGCACUGCAGACAAAUGCACUUGGCUCAAUGUACAUGGAACUUGGUGAAUGUCUGUGCCUUUCCUUCGGUGUGAGCAUAGAAGACUCUGCUUCAAGGCUCAAAGCUAGAGUCAGACCUUGAAGCAAUUUGCUGUUAAUCCUGACUAUUGAUCCAUAUCUGGUGGAUAUCGGAAGGAAAUGCUGUUCACAGUAACUGAGCUGUCCUGUGGUAGCAAAAAGCUGAGAAGUGUAAUUAGUUGUACUACUUCAUCCCUGCUGCUCAGUGGAAGUUAGAAUUUUGCUUUGAGGAGAAUAAAGGUUUUUUAUGAACCAAAAUUGAUUAUUUUCUUCUUAGCCAGUGAAACAUUCCCUACUUUCACAAGUCAUUCUUAGAAUAACAAUAAAACUUUCUAUAUGUGAUAGAGGCA